GGCUCGGUGGCGUAGUGGUAAUGCAUUCUGAAUUCCUACAUAGGUGUUUUGUUUUCAGGGGGUAUGGAGUUCGAUUCUGCGUCGAGCCA
Non-coding RNA from Mycena latifolia, 89 nucleotides. NCBI's taxonomy places the organism in Eukaryota, Fungi, Basidiomycota, Agaricomycetes, Agaricales, Mycenaceae. The record is from the annotation of a GenBank genome assembly.